AACUAUUUAGUUCCACAUUUAUCGCACAUAAAGGCUUGUACUGACUUCAUAGCCGUGGAAUUUCGCCCGCAACAUGCAUUUGGCAUGCCGUGAAACGUUGCUGGCAACAUUAAUUGUCAAAUGAGAAGAAACGUCAAAAUGAAAAUUGAACAAAUGUAAACAAACAAAUUUAUGAGCAUCGCCCGCAAGCAAUUAGAAAAUUUUGCUUUAACUACAUUUAGCAGCAUUUGGGGAGUUUUGCGAGCUUCCGGCACAACCACUAGCAUCCAGAAGAGUAGGUGCAUUACCCCAGAAGCAAUUACGAAAUUUUGGUUUAACUACAUUUAGCAGCAUUUGGGGAGUUUUGCGAGCUUCUGGCACAACCACUAGCAUCCAUUGCCGGUAAAAAUAAAUGUAUGAAGAAAAAAAAUAUU
Molecule: long non-coding RNA, 413 nt
Organism: Rhagoletis pomonella (apple maggot)
Lineage: Eukaryota; Metazoa; Arthropoda; Insecta; Diptera; Tephritidae
Exons: 3
Source: RefSeq, a predicted model, not a curated record